GUGCUGCACGUCGACGUGGCCGGGCGCUCCCUGGCCGUGGUGGAGCGCGACGGCGCGCACGACCCGGCCACGGGGCGCGCGCUCACCAGCUCCUGGCUCUGGGACUCCGCCGUCGUCCUCGCCACCCACCUUGCCUCGGCCAGACACGGAACGAUCCACGGCGCCACCGUUCUCGAGCUCGGCGCCGGCACCGGCCUCCCGGGCAUCGCGGCCGUCGCGUGCCUCGGCGCCGCGCGCUGCGUGCUCACCGACGUGGGGCCGCUCCUGCCGGGCCUCAGGGCCAACGCCGAGGCCAACGGUCUCACGCCCGCGCAGGCCGACGUGCGGGAGCUGCGCUGGGGCGAGGACGCCGACCUGCCCGACUGCGAGCUCCUGCGCGUGGACGUGGUGCUCAUGUCCGACGUGUUCUAUGAUCCGGAGGAGAUGCCGGCGAUGGCGGCCACGUUGCGCCGGCUGUGGCGGGACGGCACGGUGGGGUGGGCGACCAGCGAGGUGCGGUGUGGCGUGCAGGAUUGCGUGGACGUGCUGCGGGAGCACGGCUUCGAUGUGGCCGAGGUCGACAGGGUCACCAGGCCGCUGCUGCGCGACCCCACACAGGCCUCCGACUUCGCCGUCUAUCGCGUCGAGCUCCGGCGGCCUCAUUAG
RNAcentral lists this ribosomal RNA (645 nucleotides) under Triticum aestivum (bread wheat). Its description in RNAcentral is "partial small subunit ribosomal RNA". Lineage: Eukaryota; Viridiplantae; Streptophyta; Magnoliopsida; Poales; Poaceae. The record is from RNAcentral.